This 462-nucleotide ribosomal RNA is filed under the name uncultured bacterium. Its description in RNAcentral is "partial 16S ribosomal RNA". It matches the Rfam family "Bacterial small subunit ribosomal RNA", at positions 28 to 507 of the family's 1533-position model. The record is from RNAcentral.
GACGAACGCUGGCGGCGUGCUUAACACAUGCAAGUCGAGCGGAAAGGCCCUUCGGGGUCCUCGAGCGGCGAACGGGUGAGUAACACGUGAGUAACCUGCCCCAGACUUUGGGAUAACCCUCGGAAACGGGGGCUAAUACCGGAUACGACACAGCUUCGCAUGGGGUCUGUGUGGAAAGUUUUUCGGUUUGGGAUGGGCUCGCGGCCUAUCAGCUUGUUGGUGGGGUGAUGGCCUACCAAGGCGACGACGGGUAGCCGGCCUGAGAGGGCGACCGGCCACACUGGGACUGAGACACGGCCCAGACUCCUACGGGAGGCAGCAGUGGGGAAUAUUGCACAAUGGGCGGAAGCCUGAUGCAGCGACGCCGCGUGAGGGAUGGCGGCCUUCGGGUUGUAAACCUCUUUCAGCAGGGACGAAGCGUAAGUGACGGUACCUGCAGAAGAAGCGCCGGCCAACUACGUG